GGAGACUGUAGCUCACUGGAAGGGCAUCUGCUUUGCAUGCAGAAGGUCCCAGGUUCUAUCCCUAGCAUCUGCA
Podarcis lilfordi (Lilford's wall lizard) is the source of this 73-nucleotide non-coding RNA. The record is from the annotation of a GenBank genome assembly. NCBI's taxonomy places the organism in Eukaryota, Metazoa, Chordata, Lepidosauria, Squamata, Lacertidae.